RNAcentral lists this long non-coding RNA (409 nucleotides) under Mytilus galloprovincialis (Mediterranean mussel). The record is from RNAcentral. Lineage: Eukaryota; Metazoa; Mollusca; Bivalvia; Mytilida; Mytilidae.
GCCUCUUUUGGGAUAUAUACUAUUGCUAGAUAUUUUGUUUACCAACUGGUUCCCAGAUAUGAUAUGUAUGUUGCAUCUCAAAGAGACACAACUUGGGAACUUUACCAGUAUGAAUGCAAAUAGAUAGUGGCCAAAUUGAAGUUGAGAAGGACCAACUGUUAAGUAAGAGGAAUAAAGUAUAUAGGUUUAAAUUCUUGGAAGUUUGAGGCAUAUAUUUUAUAUUUAUACCUGCCAACCCCUGAAACCUUCAAAGAGGAUGAUCCCCCCUUAGCUAUGACAACUGAGUGGGAUAUUUUGCACGAAUGACAUCAUGGACAUUUUCAAGUGAAAUAUAUGACCUGUUUAUUUAAUCAUCUACAAAACACAUAUAAAAGAGUUAAUAGAUAUACUUUAUUUCUUUAAAUAAGUU